RNAcentral lists this ribosomal RNA (333 nucleotides) under uncultured bacterium. RNAcentral's name for it is "SSU rRNA". It matches the Rfam family "Bacterial small subunit ribosomal RNA", at positions 29 to 367 of the family's 1533-position model. The record is from RNAcentral.
ACGUACGCUGGCGGCACGCCUAAUACAUGCAAGUCGAACGAGAAAGCACUUCGGUGUGAGUACAGUGGCGGACGGGUGAGUAACGCGUAGGAAUCUACCUAGUAGUGGGGGACAACUCGAGGAAACUCGAGCUAAUACCGCAUACGACCUAAGGGUGAAAGUGGGGGAUCUUCGGACCUCACGCUAUUUGAGGAGCCUGCGUUGGAUUAGCUUGUUGGUGAGGUAAAGGCUCACCAAGGCUACGAUCUAUAGCUGGUCUGAGAGGACGAUCAGCCACACUGGAACUGAGACACGGCCCAGACUCCUACGGGAGGCAGCAGUGGGGAAUAUUGG